This 85-nucleotide non-coding RNA is filed under the name Candidatus Kentrum sp. G. Lineage: Bacteria; Pseudomonadati; Pseudomonadota; Gammaproteobacteria. The record is from RNAcentral.
CUUUGUGGCGGGCCGUGCGGGCAACCUUCGGGUUGGCCGGUUCCUUUGUCCCGGUAGUGCUAACCUGUACAGGCCCGCCUCCCUU